Molecule: ribosomal RNA, 475 nt
Filed under: uncultured bacterium
Lineage: Bacteria
Description: bacterial SSU rRNA
Rfam family: Bacterial small subunit ribosomal RNA
Source: RNAcentral
AUUGAACGCUGGCGGCAUGCCUUACACAUGCAAGUCGAACGGCAGCACGGGGCAACCUGGUGGCGAGUGGCGAACGGGUGAGUAAUGCAUCGGAACGUGCCAUUGAGUGGGGGAUAACGUAGCGAAAGUUGCGCUAAUACCGCAUAUUCUGUGAGCAGGAAAGCAGGGGGACCGCAAGGCCUUGCGCUCUUUGAGCGGCCGAUGGUCAGAUUAGCUAGUUGGUCGAGGUAAAGGCUUACCAAGGCGACGAUCUGUAGCGGGUCUGAGAGGAUGAUCCGCCACACUGGAACUGAGACACGGUCCAGACUCCUACGGGAGGCAGCAGUGGGGAAUAUUGGACAAUGGGCGCAAGGCCUGAUCCAGCAAUGCCGCGUGUGUGAAGAAGGCCUGCGGGUUGUAAAGCACUUUUGUUCGGGAGAAAUCAUGCUGGUUAAUACCUGGUAUGGAUGACGUACCGAAAGAAUAAGCACCGGCU